Molecule: long non-coding RNA, 706 nt
Organism: Spinacia oleracea (spinach)
Lineage: Eukaryota; Viridiplantae; Streptophyta; Magnoliopsida; Caryophyllales; Amaranthaceae
Exons: 2
Source: RefSeq, a predicted model, not a curated record
GAACCCUUACACGUGUCAUCAGCAAAUGGGUGAAAAAAAUAAAAAACGCGUCCUUGCAAUACUUAACUAAAUGAAGGACUCGUUUUUGCGCCAAACAUUCAUCUUCUUCUUCUCUUUCCUGUGUUCAUUCAAGUCAAAGAAAUUCUUCAUCUCUCAAUUACUCCAAGUCAGAGGUAGAUUCUUGCCCCCAAACAACGAAAUUCAGAGCAAUUAGUCCACAUUCUCAAGGAACCAUGUCUGGAUUAGCUGGAGAAAACCUCGUGUUCUGCCUUGAGGAAUUGAUGUGCGUGUUCGUGUUCCCCAAGCUUCCCUAUGAGGAUCAGAAGGUUUGUUGUCAGACUUGCCAUCAUUGGAGGAGGUUGUGACAUUGGCAGAACGAUAUUAUGAAGCAGCAACAGUAGGAUGAAGUUGGUACUUUGGAUUGGUUUUUGGUGGAUUGAUUGCUGGUAGCAUCAGCAACCUUGAUAGUUUGUUUUUGAUGAAUUAGUUUAGGUUGCAACAGUUAGUUGUGAGAUUGCAGAUUUGUAGUUGCAUCAGUUAGUUGUAGUUGUUGUUGGUAGUUGUAGGAGGUAGUUGUUUUGGAUGUCAAAGUUCGGGUGACAUUGUGAAGGUCAUUUGUGACACAAUGUCAUAGGUUUGACAUUAUUAAACAUUAGAUUGUACUUUGAUGAUUAUUAAUGAAAUAUGUCGGUUAUUAUUAUCUAAA